GGAAGAUGGGGACAAAAUGCCACUAGUACUGGCAGCAAAAAACACUGCCUUCUUCCUCUUGACUCUCAAAUGUACGAAGUGCAGGUUUGCUGAAAGUGAUGGAGCUGCAAGACUCAGACCCAACCCACUCUGGAGUCCACACACUUGCACAUUUAGACCCAACACAUGCACCAACAGUGCAAGUCUUCCCUUCCUGCCCUGCCCUUUAAAUAAUAGCACAAUGGGCCAAGGGUACUGAGUUUGAUGUGACGCAGGGAGCAGGGAAGGUCAGGGUCUGCUGCAGGAGUCUACAAGGAUGUCCCAAGGCUUGGGGUCAUCCUUUCUAGUUGCUGGAGACUAUUAGGCUAUAGCCUUAUUGGGCAAUAAGCACUAGCAGUCAAAUACGGUUAAUUGGGACCUCACAGCCUAAAGUCGCCAGUCUCUCACACCUGUGUCUUUGUGUGGGACUUCAACACCCUCAAACAUAUAUCCAUUACUUGGGUUAAAAAAAAAAAAGGUGAGGAGAAGGGCUUUUUGCUGUGUGAAUUCAGUCCUAAGACACAUGCAGUCUAACACUUCAUCUUGACUGCCUAGGUCAUCUAACAUGGAUUAGGGCAGUCUUCGUUCUGGCACUGAAGACAAUCUUUCUGUCCCUGGGGCCUUGUUGACACUUGGAAAUCUGUCAGAAUCGCUAUUCUGGUAAGAGAACAAAGCUAAAUAGCAGAAAGGUAUUCUUAGGCCACAAUGAGACAGAAAUAACUAUUCCAAUAAAUUAUUUUUCUUCCCCAGACAACGUGGCAAAUUUCAAAGCACUGGCAAACCCUGUUCCUUUUUACUAAAUGAGGAUAAUAUUUAUUCUCUCUGGUUGCUUAAUUGUCUUGUCUGUAGAGGCUACAAGAUCAUAUCUUUUGAGGGGGCUCUGACUUCAUUUUCAGUAUCUCUGUGAAAUAAAACACAUAAUCUAUAAUGCAAAUAAUACACAAAUAUACAUAUCCACCCAAUACCCCAGCAUAAGACUGUUUAACCCAUUUAGUCCACAACCCAACUUCUCCCCAGUUCCCCAACUUUGUCCCAAAAUCUCUGAAAUCAGCAAGUUUGGUGGGUCUCUGAGAUGGGCAGAAAUCAGGGGCAUUCAGCAGGCAGCUGCACAAGGCCAGAUGUUGUAGGUCUGGCCCUGUCCCAUGCUGCUGCUAAAACCGGCAUCACUGACUGCAGUAGGAACCAGGUGCACAGAAUUGCUGUUGUAUUGUGCUAUCAUAUGCUGAAGCAAUUCUUCAUCAAGAUUUAGAAAUAACCACAGUCUUGCAUCAUCUCAACGGACAAAAUCACUGGGAAGUCUCUUAACAAAGGCAGAACAGUGGCAAAUGCCCCCUUUUUUUGGUCUCACUUUCAUAAAAUUCCAGUAGUACCUGCAUCUAUCAGGAAAUUUCCCUGCAGAAAAUAAACCUUUCAUACAUCCAGGCUACAGAUAAGAAACCUAAAGAGGAGCAGUGUGUCCUUCAGCUGCACCACUGUCAGAGCUAAAGUACUUUCUCCCAUUAUUUCUUUUCCCUGGCUAUGAGACCUCCCUGACUUCCAAACACACAACUAUUCUUUGUCUAGUAGUGAACCGUGACACCUCACCUUGAUCUGCACAUAGGAUCAAAACCAGCACAGCAAGGAGGGCGGCCUUCAUCUUCUCUCAGUCGUCUCUGCAGCCCAGGAAAAGCACCCUCACCUGGGGACAGGAUAUAUAUCUUCCCCGCGUUUGGACUGAGUGAUGAUGAAGCCAACAAUUUGGAAAGAGUGGGCAGGGAUCAUGUAUUAUUUGAGAGGGCAGGAAUGCAUGUGGGUUGUUUUCUCACCUCACCAUUGCCUUCAGGCUGGUCUGAUGGGUCUGGAGGGGAGUGAAAGCACUAAGGCAAUUCAUUCCAUUUAUUGCUUUUAAUACUUUAAUUUAUCUAUGGUCAGGCUAGGAGUGCUGCUGAUGUCUGAGCCGGGGGUUUGUACUGUUUAUAAGUUCCAAUUUGAUCAUCACAUCUGUGGCCACAUAGUUCAGUGAAGGCAGUUACUCAAAGAAAAAAUGAUAAUAAAUGGCAUAAAUUAAUGGCUUCAUCUGGGUUUACUGCCAAGUGCCUUCCCAGGUUAGAAGUGGAGAACCCCCAGUAUCUGGAGUCAGGGCAGAUCUAGCUGUAUACUCAUGGGUGGCAAUAUAAACAGGAAAUGUCUUACAAUUUCCUGUUUGCCUAUAAAAGCUGCUGGUUACUGACAGAGUCCUAAAUGUUCUGCAUCCUGAUUUGGAGAGCAGCUGCUGCAAGAGAGCAAUGGCUUUGUGGUUCAAAUGGAGAAGCCAGAGCACUGGAGGACACAAAGCAUCUGACUGAGAGUCCUGCUAGAUACCACUCAGAUGUGAUGUCCUCAGCCUUUGUGAUUUCUCUGCAUGCUUACAAUUUGGGUGGAGCUGGAGCUGAUAUUUUCAGCCCUUCUGGGGCCUCCAUUUGACUGCCUGUCCCAUUUCUGCUUCCAAGGAAAGAGUUACAUGGAAGUUUGAUGCUGCAUAUCGGCCAGCAUCUCCAUGAGUCACCUCUUAGCAAGCCAUCAAAGAGCAGAGAGGAUGAAGCAGGAGCAGCACCUUUGAAUGAAGCCACCUGGGCCAUCAGCUGUCUGUUCACCUCUUCCUUCUCCACCCUGCAAGGCUUGGUCUGCACAAAAGAGAACAGAGACCCAGUUGUAGCUACACAGCCUGGGGUUUAGAAGAUGGAGAUACAGAAGGAGAAGAGGCAGAGGCUCAGAAAACAUGUGGAAGAAAGAGAUUAGGUGGCCAGAGGGAGGGCUAAAAUGAUGGGGCCACCGUUAGUUUCUGGGCAGGAGAUCAGUCAGAUGAGCAAGAGUCCCUGAAGCAGUGGUCAUGCUCAUCAGAGACAUUUAGAGCAUCUGAUGGGACUAAUUAGUGCUCAUCACAGUGAAGGCAAUGGCCAGAGGAAGUUCAAUGUGACACAAAAAUGCAUAGCAUCUUCUUUAAAAAAAAAAGAAAAAGAUGGGGAAUUAUUGGGGUAAGCUUUUUUUGGUUGAUUUAGAGAUAUUUUUGAGGUUUCUGACACUGGUGUUAAACCACUGGUCUGCCAAUACAGCUGCCGUAAAGCAGGAUCAACAGGAUGGUGAAGUCAGCCCUGAUAACCCCAUGAGCCCUAACCGUUCCUCUGCGAUGGACGUACACCUUCUGGGUGUGGAGAGGACAAGCCACAUUGCUUGCCCAACAGAUGAAAAUCUACCAGACUCAGGGACUGCAUGCCACUGUGGAUGCCAGAGAAGGUGUGUCAGUCCUCCCAGAUGUCACGAGGUAGCAACCAAAGAGCUAGACCUAUUCCAGGGAAUAAGGAUUGCCCAGCGUGAUUCACUGCGUGGUGUCCUCUCGCAGGGAUGACUCUUCAGGGGAGUCUGGAAGUGAGCCUGGGAAGCCAAGGCUCAGUGUCCCAUAGUGGCGGGAGCACCCUGGCAAAGGUCCGCACUGAUAAAGUAGUUUACUUUAACCAGAUUUAGUUUUUUGAGGGAGGGGAAAAUAGUUGUGUUACUCUUCAGCGUGACAAACACGGUGUGUUCUUGAUUAUUAUUUUUUUUAAAAAAACAAAGAAAUGUGUCUGACUCAGUUUAUUCCUCCACUUCCAAGAACGGAUGGCAUGAACAUCUCCCCUCUGACACAGAACUCGAGAAGUGUCACCUGGUCCAGGGGUUCAAAUCUGUUCCUUACUAACAGCAGGAAGAUGAUCUGCAAGGCCACAGGAAGUGGUCCACCACACGUCUGCUGGCAGGAGUGGUUUGGACAAGCGUGAUGAUGGACAAAGGUGCGCGAUGGGCUGUUUGGCAUUUUGAGAAUUGUCAGCGGCCCAUUGAGCCAGAUAGCUGGGACAUUACCUUUCUAGCCUCAGGUAUGUCUGAUGUAUAUGUGUGAUGUGUGGGACUGCCACAGUUGGCAUUUUUGCAGAGGCGCAUGGGAUACUGAGGAUGGUGCUGUCACUCUGGGUGGCCAACACAUGGAAGUAGUAUGACUGCAGCAUGGAAGGUAGUGCUUGGCUAGGUCAGGGCAGAAAGCUGGAAAAAAAAAAAAAAGGUGUCCCAGUAUCCAGCAGCACAUAGCAGAAAUGAGGUUACAGCUAUAACAGUAAAUUAAACAUGUCCAGGACCAUCUCCAGCAUGGAGACCAAGAGGUGCACAUCAACAAGGCCUCUUGCAAAUAGUCCUUCCUUUGUGCUUCUCCUCGGUUUUUUUCCAGACAUUGCAUGCAACAGUGGUGCUUGGUCCAUCUUAAAAACUUGCCAGGGAACACACAAACAAUUAAAAUGAUUAAUUAAAUGUUGUGGAUGAUUGCAUGCCAGACCACAGAUGUUCCCAGGAACUGUUUAUUCCCCUAGCUUGGGUUCAGCCUUGGAGAUCAGACCCUUGCAGGCAUGUGAAUCACAUCCUUCAGGAUGAGACCUUGGUCCCUGAUUUACUCUUGGCUGUGCCACAUCACUAUGCAACUGUGUUGGAGUUGGCUAGUAAACACAGCUUUAUUUGGCUGCCCUCCGAAAUGUUCUGGCCAUUGGGUCUUCCUGGCUGUAGAACAGAGAUCAGCAGUCAACAAAUGAAGUCAGCCAGGGAUCUGCUCAUCUUCUGGGAGCCUCAUACCAGGGUCUUCUCACAAAAGGCCUUGGGACAAGUGCCCACACAUGGAACCACAGUAACAAGGAGGAACAGAUACACCAUGGCGUGGUCUCAUGGGAUCUCUUCUUUUUAUUUGCCCUGAAGAUUUUAACUAUUCACCUUCCCUGUGGUCAGAGAAAGAAGUCUGCCUCAUCACUUCUUAGGUGGCAUCUCACAAGGGUUCCAGAUAUUUCCAUCUAUCCCAGCAUCAUCUUAAUCUGUAUGUACUGCCAUUUCCCACUCAGUGGCUAGUGCACCAGGGGCUGCAGGACAGAAUUGUUUCUCAGCACAUGGUAUUAUUGCACCACCAGGGAUUUUGCAGCCCUGAAUAAAAUCCAUUGAAGCAAUUGCAGAAUCUAA
Long non-coding RNA from Falco peregrinus (peregrine falcon), 4998 nucleotides. RefSeq lists it as uncharacterized. NCBI's taxonomy places the organism in Eukaryota, Metazoa, Chordata, Aves, Falconiformes, Falconidae. The record is from RefSeq and is a predicted model, not a curated record. The transcript has 2 exons.